AAGAUCGUGCUUCAUAGGAUCAUUUCUAUAGUACGAUUGUCGAGACGCAUCCGCGAUCUCGGAACACACUCGACCACGAUGAGGAGUCGAGGGUCUCCGCCUGAGCGCGAAGCCGGCAUCGGGACUUAGGGUUCCGACCCGGGUUCCUGCCAUUGAUGACCGUUCCCUCGGCUCUUGUAGCUGAUGGGAGGGCGGAGACCCAGUCUGAGUGGC
Molecule: small nucleolar RNA, 213 nt
Filed under: Dermacentor silvarum
Lineage: Eukaryota; Metazoa; Arthropoda; Arachnida; Ixodida; Ixodidae
Description: small nucleolar RNA U3
Rfam family: Small nucleolar RNA U3
About the family: Small nucleolar RNAs (snoRNAs) are involved in the processing and modification of rRNA in the nucleolus. There are two main classes of snoRNAs: the box C/D class, and the box H/ACA class.
Source: RNAcentral